ACGAACGUUAGCGGCGCGCCUAACACAUGCAAGUCGCACGAGAAAGGGCUUCGGCCCCGGUAAAGUGGCGCACGGGUGAGUAACACGUGGGUAAUCUGCCCUCGAGCGGGGGAUAACAUUCCGAAAGGAGUGCUAAUACCGCAUAAGACCACGAGCUCGAAAGAGCAUGCGGUCAAAGCUGGCCUCUAUUCAUAAGCUAGCACUUGAGGAUGAGCCCGCGGCGCAUCAGCUAGUUGGUGAGGUAAUGGCUCACCAAGGCUAAGACGCGUAGCUGGUCUGAGAGGAUGAUCAGCCACACUGGAACUGAGACACGGUCCAGACUCCUACGGGAGGCAGCAGUGGGGAAUCUUGCGCAAUGGGCGAAAGCCUGACGCAGCGACGCCGCGUGAGUGAUGAAGGCCUUCGGGUUGUAAAGCUCUGUGGGGAGAGACGAAUAGGUGGAGCC
Molecule: ribosomal RNA, 445 nt
Filed under: uncultured bacterium
Lineage: Bacteria
Description: bacterial SSU rRNA
Rfam family: Bacterial small subunit ribosomal RNA
Source: RNAcentral